CCUACGGGAGGCAGCAGUGAGGAAUAUUGGUCAAUGGGCGGAAGCCUGAACCAGCCAAGUAGCGUGCAGGAUGACGGCCCUACGGGUUGUAAACUGCUUUUGUACGGGAAUAACGCGCCUUACGUGUAGGGCUUUGCAUGUACCUUAUGAAUAGGGACCGGCUAAAUCCGUGCCAGCAGCCGCGGUGAUACGGAAGGUCCGGGCGUUAUCCGGAUUUAUUGGGGUUAAAGGGAGCGUAGGCCGCAUGUCAAGCGUGCUGUGAAAUGUCCGGGCUCAACCCGGGCCUUGCAGCGCGAACUGGCGUGCUUGAGUCCGCGGAAGGCAGGCGGAAUUCGUCGUGUAGCGGUGAAAUGCUUAGAUAUGACGAAGAACCCCGAUUGCGAAGGCAGCUUGCUGCAGCGGAACUGACGCUGAUGCUCGAAAGCGCGGGUAGCGAACAGGAUUAGAUACCCGGGUAGUC
RNAcentral lists this ribosomal RNA (460 nucleotides) under uncultured bacterium. Its description in RNAcentral is "partial 16S ribosomal RNA". It matches the Rfam family "Bacterial small subunit ribosomal RNA", at positions 338 to 795 of the family's 1533-position model. The record is from RNAcentral.